GACGAACGCUGGCGGCGUGCUUAACACAUGCAAGUCGAACGGAAAGGCCCUGCUUGCAGGGUACUCGAGUGGCGAACGGGUGAGUAACACGUGGGUGAGCUGCCCUGCACUUCGGGAUAAGCCUGGGAAACUGGGUCUAAUACCGGAUAGGAGCCAUUUUUAGUGUGAUGGUUGGAAAGUUUUUUCGGUGUAGGAUGAGCUCGCGGCCUAUCAGCUUGUUGGUGGGGUAAUGGCCUACCAAGGCGGCGACGGGUAGCCGGCCUGAGAGGGUGGACGGCCACAUUGGGACUGAGAUACGGCCCAGACUCCUACGGGAGGCAGCAGUGGGGAAUAUUGCACAAUGGGCGCAAGCCUGAUGCAGCGACGCCGCGUGGGGGAUGACGGCCUUCGGGUUGUAAACUCCUUUCGCUAGGGACGAAGCUUUUUGUGACGGUACCUAGAUAAGAAGCACCGGCUAACUACGUG
RNAcentral lists this ribosomal RNA (465 nucleotides) under uncultured bacterium. RNAcentral describes it as "partial 16S ribosomal RNA". It matches the Rfam family "Bacterial small subunit ribosomal RNA", at positions 28 to 507 of the family's 1533-position model. The record is from RNAcentral.